AUUAGAAAGGCCUUUUUAAGAAAUGAAACGUGUAUAUCGUGCUAGUAAUGUUAUAAAUCUGUCGUCUUUAAAUACACUUGAUAAUCGCAAAAAUUUAAGGCCUUUGCAUGUAAAAAAAUUGUACUCGUAAUUGUAAGGCCAUUCGAAUCUCGGCUAACAAGUAAGGUUCGAAUCUCGGCUAAGCAGAGUUUGAUUAUCGGCAAAGUAAGGUUUGAGUCUCUACUAACAACAAAGAGAUUCUAAAAUCUGAUUGCGAGCCUGAACCUGAACCUGAGCCAGUCUGAAAAUCUGAGUUUGGUUUUGGCCAAUUGUCCUUGAAAAUGGAGGCGGAUCGAUACUCGGCAAACCAGCAUGGAUAUGACCCGUAAGGAUGAAGGGUGCUCCAUCAUGCAUCUCGAAAAUAUAAGACGUGACUGCGCAGAGGAUGACUACAAGAGCGUUUCUAGCUGUACCGAUCACCCAAAGAAAUCUCUUCAAUGUGGAUCCGUGUGCGCAAGGUCGGGGAAAGACGAAGAGAAUUGCAGAUAUCGGUCGCGUCAUUGCAACGGAAUUUCAGCUGUAAAUAUUCGUAACGGAACACUGGUUCCUUAAAGACAGCCCAAAACGUUGUGAACGAAGAAAAAAAGGUGUCGGUGCCUUUAUACAAGGCAACCAGCAAAAUCAAGUUCAAGAUCGAAAAUCAUCGGUACGAAGGUCAUUAUUAGGAAGAGGAGGGGAAUUCCUUCACGGUGAGUGACUCCUCUGGGCCAAGGACUUUAGCUACUAGAACUGGCUUUCGCCUUUUACGCAAAGAUCUAUAUACGGUAGCUAAAUCCUGACAAUGAGUUCUGUCUCGAUUUUACGUCGGAUAUAAAAUAUCCGUCGUUUAUUAAUUGAAUCUUCUCAAGCCAAUUUACGAUGGCAUCUAUGCAAUUUAUUACUCAACUUUAUUGAGUGAUGUAUAGAAUAUUUUAACACUUUAACAUCCAACGUGUUUGUAAUCAAAGCAUAAAUUAAAAUUCCGUUUUAACUAUAUGAGGAAUAAUAUUCUCUUGAUAUUCCUAAAAUUUAAUUUAUUAGAAAUUUUAAGAAAUUAUCUUAUAUAUUUAAUUAUAUUGAAAGAAUUAUAUAUUCCUUUAAAAAAAUCGCAUAAUUUUGAGACGCCUCAUGUAUCGUUUAUCGAUGAAGUGGUCGAACUCAACGGUUAACUGUGUCUCGAUCAUAAAACCUUCGGCCAACAUGAUCGAAACCAGAUUCGAGAACCAUAUGAAUUUCCUUAUUACUCCUGGUAUAUGUUUAUAAGAAUCUUGUGACUGCAUUCGUAUAUAAGGUAUACUUUAAAGUACUUUGCUGAGAAAUGCAUCUAGGAAUGUAUAUGUAUUUUUUUAGAGUACAUUUAACUUGAAGCAUAAAAUGUGCGUGUGGAAGCAUGCGAUUAUUUUCUCUCUUCCCUAUAA
Molecule: unclassified non-coding RNA, 1436 nt
Filed under: Camponotus floridanus (Florida carpenter ant)
Lineage: Eukaryota; Metazoa; Arthropoda; Insecta; Hymenoptera; Formicidae
Description: putative uncharacterized protein DDB_G0282499, transcript variant X2
Source: RNAcentral